This is a non-coding RNA of Paramuricea clavata, 495 nucleotides long. Lineage: Eukaryota; Metazoa; Cnidaria; Anthozoa; Malacalcyonacea; Plexauridae. The record is from the annotation of a GenBank genome assembly.
CUCAGCAACAGCCGGGGCCAGCCCGCUAGUCCAUAUAAAUUCACAAUAUUUAUUAGACUACUAUAAAAAUAACUACACAGCGAGAUCUCGCUUACCGAGCUGUCUCGCCUAGCGGACCAGCCCGGCUUCCAUAUAUAAACAGGCCCUCACAUAGAUAGGCUACAAUUGCAGUAUUAGACCGAUAUAUAUAUAUACACACGGAGCUAUUGUGGCUUAUAAAGUACUAGUCAAUUGAAAGACUUUGACCCAAAAGCAUAUGCGGGAUUUUAACAGUGCUCUACCUUUGCAGGGGAGAUACAAGUUAAUAACAAAUGUCACUACUUUGAUGCCCAAUUGAACACAUGACAUAAAGAACAAGAUGCAUGCAUUUUUGUGUGUGUUUUGAUGUUAUGUACUCAGGUUAAUAUAAUGUUUUUGAUGCUACUCUGCAUGAGUGUAUAUCUACACCGGGCAGGCUGAAAAGUUAGCCUGACCACGGUGGGAAUCAAACCUGCG